UGUUGCAGGUGUAAUUCUGUUGAGCACAGGACUUCAUGACAGGAUUGCACAAAUGUUCCCCUCUUCCCCUGUGCAGGAACAAGAGACAACUACAACACCGCUAAGAGGAAUUUCACUUAACAGAAGCUAAGACAAAUCCAACUUGAUCCAGCAUACAAUGAUAAUGUCUUUAAAACCUGCAACGUGGAGGCCCAUUGAGCAGACAAAAAUCUUUCAGAGAGAAAAUAAUCUCCUGCUCUGACUAGAAGGAAGAAGUACUCCACAGCACAUGUGAAGGAGACCACACCUAAUCUGGGGAAGUUCUUGUCCCUGAAAAGUGUGCACAGCUUCUUUAACAUCAAGUUAUUCACAAUUACUUUUAAAAAGCAAUUUAAGUAAGUGAUCCGCUUUUAAGCUCUGAAGAAUCUGCACCAUGUUGAAGCAAAAUACAUCACCAGUUCUUUAACCGUAGUCAAUUCAUACUUUAAUAAACCAGUGAGUUUUAAUGCAAAAUAUGCAUAAAUUGUAUAUAUAUCCCCACAAAAGAACUGACUGGUUAAAAAUUAUUUUUUCAUGUACAACACCAUCUUAACAAUCAUAAAUAAAAUUUACAUAAUAAAAACAUAUUUUGUACACUUUACAUUAAAAUGUAAAAACAGAAACCUCAUUAAAUGAGAAAAAGAACAUGUAAAGCUGCAGAGACCCUUUUGCUAGUAGAAAAGAAGUUACAAAUGCAAGACAAAAGAUAUUUAUUUGUGUGUUUGUUUUGAUGCAUAAAUGAGAUGAAAAUAAGGAAAA
Molecule: long non-coding RNA, 777 nt
Organism: Pogoniulus pusillus (Red-fronted tinkerbird)
Lineage: Eukaryota; Metazoa; Chordata; Aves; Piciformes; Lybiidae
Exons: 3
Source: RefSeq, a predicted model, not a curated record